UGGGGAAUAUUGCGCAAUGGGGGGAACCCUGACGCAGCCAUGCCGCGUGAAUGAAGAAGGCCUUAGGGUUGUAAAGUUCUUUCGGUAUUGAGGAAGGUUGAUGUGUUAAUAGCACAUCAAAUUGACGUUAAAUACAGAAGAAGCACCGGCUAACUCCGUGCCAGCAGCCGCGGUAAUACGGAGGGUGCGAGCGUUAAUCGGAAUAACUGGGCGUAAAGGGCACGCAGGCGGUUAUUUAAGUGAGGUGUGAAAGCCCCGGGCUUAACCUGGGAAUUGCAUUUCAGACUGGGUAAUUAGAGUACUUUAGGGAGGGGUAGAAUUCCACGUGUAGCGGUGAAGUGCGUAGAGAUGUGGAGGAAUACCGAAGGCGAAGGCAGCCCCUUGGGAAUGUACUGACGCUCAUGUGCGAAAGCGUGGGGAGCAAACAGGAUUAGAUACCCUGGUAGUCCACGCUGUAAACGCUGUCGAUUUGGGGGUUGGGGUUUAACUCUGGCGCCCGUAGCUAACGUGAUAAAUCGACCGCCUGGGGAGUACGGCCGCAAGGUUA
RNAcentral lists this ribosomal RNA (547 nucleotides) under uncultured bacterium. RNAcentral describes it as "bacterial SSU rRNA". It matches the Rfam family "Bacterial small subunit ribosomal RNA", at positions 355 to 896 of the family's 1533-position model. The record is from RNAcentral.